This 353-nucleotide long non-coding RNA is filed under the name Anser brachyrhynchus (Pink-footed goose). RNAcentral describes it as "lncRNA (ENSABRG00000007758.1)". The record is from RNAcentral. Lineage: Eukaryota; Metazoa; Chordata; Aves; Anseriformes; Anatidae.
AAAUAAGUUUCCAGGGAAGAUCACGAAAGAGCUGUGUGAUUUACCUCUGUACCAACACGCUGUGGUGACCUGCAUGUACCGUCUGUGCUACAAAUGACAGGCUCAGAGAAGAUGGAUGUGCUGGGGCUUUGCUGUCACCAGAACUGACUACAUGAAUAGCGAAUGAUUGAAGCACAGUUAUUUUUCUUUCAGAGCCCAGUGGAUGGACUAAUUGGAAGUGGGAUUGCUAAAGUGAAUCAUGACUAUUCACCAGCUUUUAAACUCCAUCCAGGAUCAUAGAACACAGGGUAAGUCCCACUUGCUCCUCUGUUAGGCAGAACAUGUGCCUACAUGAUUUUCCAGCUCCACCCUUC